AUGUUAUGCCAAUAAUUAUCAUUCGGAAUUUCGUAUGAUUUGAAGCAGUCAGUACAUUAUAAUUCUCUUUGAGUCAGUACUUCUGUCAAGACGAUAAAAGUAAAAUUUCUUUGUCAUUGCAAUUUACAAAUUAAAUGAUAUAUUUACCAUAAAUACUUAUCUAAAUAUUUCAAAUAAAUCCUCAUAUUCCAAGAAAACUACGUGAAUAUAACGUGUAGUGUAACUGCGAGUGACAGUUUAUUAUUUUAAAGGUGCUCUAAAUAUAUUAUUUACAUUUCAAAUUAUUUAUCAAUGAGUUAGAUAACGAUGGUAACUUGUGAUAGUGCCGGGCGAUUAGUAAACAGGAAUGGGACUUUGUCUGCACUAAGUGAGAUUAUAUCGCAUUAGGAAGUGAAGACAACACCAGCACGAUGCACAUGUGGAUGUGGUUCGGGUACGAUCUGGGCGAGUUCCUGUUCGCGGGGCUCGAGGUGACCACGCGCUGGGCGUUCGCGCUCACGUGGAUAGCGCUUUUCUUCGUCGCGCUGCUCUUCGAGGGCUCCAAGGUGUACUUGGCACAAGUGCAGCGCGAGGCUCUUAAGAAGCUAUAUCCACAUCGAUCCGACGAACGACGCACUCUACUAUGUGACAGGGAACAAGGCAACAUGGAGCCGACGACGAGCCGCAACGCGAGCACGGGUCAGGUCAGCAGGUGGGCGUCUUUCAAGAUACGUACACUGGUAAGCGCAUCAGUCGGCUGCGUGUUCGUGGUGCACAACGUGAUUUUAGCUACCUGUUGAUGCUGGCGGUGAUGGUGUACAACGUGCAUCUGCUACUCGCAGUAGUGUUCGGCAUGAUGCUCGGUGAGUGAUAACUAGAGAAAAGGGUCGACUGUAGAAUACCGCUGUUUGUGAACACCCUUUAUGCAAUAUAAUGUUACGAGAUGCAAAAUAAUAUUACAAAGAUUGGACGCCACUGUAAUCUAUAUUAAAUAUUUACAUUAGCAGUGUAGAAAAUUUAGCACUCAAGUUGAAAAAAAUCCGCGCAAGCAAUUUCCUAUAAGCUAAUCGAGCACUCUGAUAGGGUAAUAAUGUACACCACGGAUAAAAUUAAAAGAAAGGGU
RNA transcript from Manduca sexta (tobacco hornworm), 1102 nucleotides. RefSeq lists it as uncharacterized. The transcript is spliced from 5 exons. NCBI's taxonomy places the organism in Eukaryota, Metazoa, Arthropoda, Insecta, Lepidoptera, Sphingidae. The record is from RefSeq and is a predicted model, not a curated record.